This 427-nucleotide ribosomal RNA is filed under the name uncultured bacterium. RNAcentral's name for it is "bacterial SSU rRNA". It matches the Rfam family "Bacterial small subunit ribosomal RNA", at positions 608 to 1029 of the family's 1533-position model. The record is from RNAcentral.
CUCAACCCCGGAACUGCUUCGGAUACUGGAGAGCUUGAGUGCUCUAGAGGGCAGUGGAAUUCCGGGUGUAGCAGUGAAAUGCGUAGAUAUCCGGAGGAACACCAGUGGCGAAGGCGACUGCCUGGGGAGUAACUGACGCUGAGGCGCGAAAGCUGGGGGAGCAAACGGGAUUAGAUACCCCGGUAGUCCCAGCCGUAAACGAUGAGUGCUAGGUGUAGCGGGUAUCGACCCCCGCUGUGCCGCAGUUAACGCAAUAAGCACUCCGCCUGGGGAGUACGGCCGCAAGGUUGAAACUCAAAGGAAUUGACGGGGGCCCGCACAAGCAGCGGAGCAUGUGGUUUAAUUCGAAGCAACGCGUAGAACCUUACCAGGGCUUGACAUGUAAGGAACCCUGCAAAGAUGCGGGGGUGCCCCUUCGGGGGAGCCU